CAGAUGGAAAGGAAGCCAGCUUAUACGAGCAGGAUCUGAGAUGCAGCACAAGGUGAUGGAGGAGGUGGCAACGUUCAAACAAAGAGAAUGUGAGGACUUAAAUAACAGCUGAGACACAAGAAAGAAGAGCUGAGUCUGUACAGGCUGAUUCCACAAGUUUGAUGGAAUAGUGGAACAAAAACUCUGUUGAAUGAAGAAAAUGUUUGAGAAAGCAUCGAGGGAGAAAGGAAGAGGGACAUGGUCCAUUUUGGACCAGGAAGUAGAGGAGAUCGGUGAGGAAAAAAUCAGGAAGUACUUAAAGACCCAGUGUUUGGUGUUUUUAACAUGUUUUGGUGGCAUUUUUCUAACGAUGGAGGACAUAUA
Molecule: long non-coding RNA, 363 nt
Organism: Oryzias melastigma (Indian medaka)
Lineage: Eukaryota; Metazoa; Chordata; Actinopteri; Beloniformes; Adrianichthyidae
Exons: 3
Source: RefSeq, a predicted model, not a curated record